Molecule: ribosomal RNA, 253 nt
Filed under: uncultured bacterium
Lineage: Bacteria
Description: partial 16S ribosomal RNA
Rfam family: Bacterial small subunit ribosomal RNA
Source: RNAcentral
GACAGAGGGGGCAAGCGUUGCUCGGAAUCACUUGGCGUAAAGGGCGCGUAGGCGGGAUGGCAAGUCGGUCGUGAAAUCCUUCGGCUCAACCGAAGAACGUCGGCCGAUACUGCCGUUCUUGAGGGAUGCAGAGGAGAUUGGAAUUCCCGGUGUAGCGGUGAAAUGUGUAGAGAUCGGGAGGAACACCGGUGGCGAAGGCGGGUCUCUGGGCAUCUCCUGACGCUGAGGCGCGAAAGCGUGGGGAGCAAACGGG